ACUGCUGUCAUCACCGGCCUCCACAGACCGACUGAAGGAGUCUGAAAGGAUCCUGGUGAAUCACUAAAUACUCAUCAGAAUGCUUCUGCCCUCCUUGAGAACCUUGAGAAGAAAGAUGAAUGGACAUAGUCAUAGUCAUCCACAGACACACACACACACACACACACACACACACACACACACACACACACACAAACAAUAUGUGUACUGUGUAAGAAUUAGGGAAAAGAAGAUGAUAAACAAAACUAAAAUAUUUAGUGUUAACAUUUAAUAUUUGAGGAGAAAGGCAAUCUACCUGUUAUUUGACUGUAUCUUAGAUCACAUCAGUUUAAAAAGUGUGAAUAAUUUGGGAUCAAUUAGCCAGGAGAACGUGUUUCUUGCAGUGAUGUUUUCCAUAUAGAAAACAAUAUUUAUUUUCACAUUGUGUUACAGAUGUAGGUACUCCUCCUAAUGGGCACCGUAAUUGAGAAGAUGGAGAUGGAUAUAUUGCCUUUUUAUGUUGAAAAGAAAAGAGCAUCAUUUAACAAACUAUUAAAUCGAAAAUGGAAGGAUAAUAUUGAAUGUUUGUGCAGUUAAUGAGUGCCAAAGGAAAACAUGAAUUGCAGACUCCGGACACUCGGGGGCGGUAUGCGCGUUCAAAGCAGGUUGCUACCAGCCAACGGUUGUAGUUCGGUCCUUCGCACCGGAAGAGGGCGCUGUUAGAUUCAGCUCACAGCUGCUACGCUCAUCUCUUGAUGUUUCACGUUGACUGUAAACAGCAGCUAGGUUUGAUUUUAGCAUGUAUUUUGAUGCUGUACUGUUGAAAUGUUAUUCAACGAGCCCCGCGCCCCACUUGUUUUGGACGAGUCGCAGACAAAACCACAAAGUAGAAAGCCACAGAGCUAGCUAGCGUUAAGCUAACGCGACCGGACGUUAGCUAGCACGGGCUAAUUAUUAUUUUGAGACACUUUACUCACUUACUACUGUGUUUCCGGUCAUGGCAGGUGAAGUGCAGCGCAUUUAAUGAGCACAAUGAUUAAGUGUUUGCCUAAAGAGGUUCAGGGGAAACUCCGCUCGGGUGUCGCCAUCCCCUCGCUUCAGCAGUGCGUGGAGGAGCUUAUCCUAAACAGCAUCGAUGCAGAGGCGACCUGUGUUGGGGUCAGGGUGGACAUGGAGGCGUUCAAAGUCCAGGUAAUCGACAACGGUGCUGGGAUGAACGCCGAGGACAUGGAGUGCGUGGGGAACAGAUACUACACGAGCAAAUGCAGCUGUGUUGAAGACCUGGACGACCUGAGGUGGUAUGGUUUCAGAGGGGAAGCCCUGGCAAGUGUGGUCUCUCUGGCCACACUUGUUGAAAUCUCAUCGCGCACCAGAUCGUCGGUGAAAACCCACGUCAAACUCUUCAAGGAUGGCAAGGGCAUGGAUGUGUUCGAAGCAGAGGCUGCACGACCCUCUGCGGGGACAACUGUUGUCAUCUGUAACUUCUUCCACAACAUGCCAGUCCGGAGGAAGAGGAUGGACGCUGUGCUUGAGCGUGAGAGGAUCAGGCACAGACUGGAGGCCAUUUCUCUGAUGCAUCCCUCUGUGUCUUUCACCCUGAAGAAUGACUGCACAGGAGCCAUGAUGGUGCAGCUUCCUAAAGCUAAAAGCACCUACCACAGGUUUGUCCAGAUACACGGCCUUGGUCGAGCACAGAAGCUUGGAGAAAUCAGCCACAUGCAUGGGCAGUUCGAAGUGAUUGGUUACAUUGGCAGAGAGGGCCACUACAGUAACAGCUUACAGUUCCUGUAUGUAAAUGACAGACUGCUCCUGAAAACACGGAUACACAAACUACUGAACUUCCUCCUACGCAGGCUGAGCAGUUCACAUCAGAGGAACGACAGUCCAGAGAGGCAGCCUGCCAUCAGGAGUCCAAAGCUUAAGCGGAGCCAAGAUCUUCACGGAGUAUACGUCAUAAAUAUCAAAUGCUCGUACUCAGAGUAUGACAUAUGUCUUGAGCCUGCCAAAACUCUAAUAGAGUUCAAAGAUUGGGAUGGUAUUUUGCUCUGCAUAGAAGAGGCAGUGAAAGCUUUCCUCAGCAGAGAGAACUUGGUGGCAGUGCUUUCUCAAGAUUAUUUGGACGACGUGUCUCCCCGAUUGUUUUGCAAUGACAACACAGACAAAGAUGGUCACAAUAGUGGCAGUUGUGACCAGGCAACUAGCAGUGCUCCCACACUAGAUUACAGUAUUGGGAUGAAACUGGCAUCUCAUUCUGUUCAUCGUAAGUGCAACGAUGACACUGUGUGUGAGAACAGUGUUUGCCAGGAGUAUGAGCUGACGGAGACUGAACAAAUAAAUGAGUUGGAAAAGAUGAAAAGCAUAAAGAAAGAAUGUAGAGAAGGCCUGGAACAGGCCUCUGAUAAUAACGUUACUGAAAAAGGGGGCCUGACAUUCAGUGAAGCUGAGGAAGGCUCUCAAAUUGUAUGUACCAGUAAUUCCAUCAAACAAGCAACUGAAAAACUGGAAUUUUUAACAGAAAUUGAUACAAGAUUAAAUGUUACUACCUCAACCAGCAAUGAGACUUCACAAGAUGGCGUAACUCAAGAAAUUCAGCCUGAUUUAAACUGUGUUGAGCAAAAUUUAUCAGACUGCCAGGGUUCAGAAGGAAACAAACAGACUUUAGUGAGUAACAGAAAGAUCCGACUGUCCGAUCCAUACAUUCAUGAAAGUCUGCAGACUCAGGACAAAUCCCAAAUCAACAAGUCAGUAUCUCAGGAGCAAAUUUUAGCACAUAAAUGUGAAGAGAGAUCCUUCGCUUCAAAACGCAAAAUCUCACUGGAUGCAGCCCAAGACAUAACUGGUCCGAAACUAUUCAAAGAUUUGGCUCCUAUGAUUCCCUCAAAGAUUCCCAGAAGUGUAACUUAUCCAAAGUUGUCUAUAUGUAAAGAGUCUGGAUCUCUUGAGAAGUUCAGAAGAGUGUACGGUAAAUCUGAUGAACUGCAGUUAACCUCUCAAGUGAAUAAUACUCGACCUGCACAGUCAGACAGCCUCCGAAGCCCACCAACCCUCUCAGUUUUCACAAACGUGAAACCAGUGUCAGUGCAGAAUAGAGGCAAAAAAUCUUUGGCCGCUAAACUCUGCCUUUUGAAACAACACAGGACAGACAAUCCAGAAGUGUUACCACGUCCAUCCAGCAUGUCGUCACAGGACGAUACUCGUCUCACUGGGCUUACCGAUAGCAUCCGAGGAAGCAGUAACGAUGAGGAUCCCUGUGAUACUGCGCUGAAUCCUGAGCCAGUCCCACUUUGCAGUACAGAACCUCAGCUGGCUGAGAGGGAGGAGAUUACAGCAUCAGGAGACUGGAUUCAUCACUACGACACAUCUGUGGGAAAGACUGUAUACGUGAACAAAGUGACUGGGCUCAGCCGAUAUGAGGACCUGCCUACUGAAGAAACACAUGUGUGCUGUACGUCUGAUGUCACCAAUAUGGCAGUUAGUGUCAUCUCUGAAAUGGGAAUGGAAUACAGGUGUUACCCGUUUCAGGUGGAUCUAGUGUUGCCCUUCCUACCUAAAUCCAGGACAGACAGAGUGAUUAGUUCAGGGCUUGAUGACCGAGAUGGCAAUGUUGAGAGCUCCAACUCCCUUACCUCAUUGUAUUCAAAAUGGAAAAACCCAGUGUUUGUCCGACCUCCUGAGGUUGGGGUGGACAUAUCAAGUGGGCAAGCUGACGGAUUGGCAGUCAAGAUCCACAACAUCCUGUUUCCAUACCGCUUUUCAAAGUCCAUGAUUCAGUCAAUGAAGGUUGUUCAUCAAGUGGAUAAGAAGUUUCUUGCAUGUCUCAUCAACACAAGGGAUGAAGAGCCGGCCGCACUUUCUGAAACUGAAGGAAACCUGCUGGUGCUGGUGGAUCAACACGCAGCGCAUGAGAGAGUUCGACUGGAAAAUCUAGUUGCAGAUUCCUAUGAGGAUGACCCGGAUUCACCCGGUGAGAGACGUCUGUGUUCAUCAACCAUUUUGCCACCUCUUGAGAUCAGUGUAACUGAAGAGGAGCUCAGGCUGCUUCGGUCUUGUCAGCCACAUUUGCGGAGUUUGGGCCUAGAAGUGAAGUUCUCACAAGUAGUGCAUCCGCAAGUCUUUGUUGGGAAGGUACCGUUGUGUUUUAUGGAAAAGGAGAGUAAUGAGCUCAGGCGGGGGAGACCAUCUGUUAUCAAGCCAAUUGUUGAGGAAUAUCUUCGAGAGCAGAUUGAGCUACUUCGCUCAACUGGUACAGUGAGAGGAACUCUGCCUCUCACUGUCCUGAAGGUGCUAGCCUCCCUAGCAUGCCACGGUGCCAUCAAAUUCAACGACAGCCUGAGCAGAGAUGAAUGCUGCAGCUUGGUGGCAUCCUUGUCCUCCUGCCAGCUUCCCUUCCAGUGCGCCCAUGGCCGCCCAUCUAUCGCUCCUUUGGUAGACAUCCUCCAUUUGGACAAAGACCAGAAGGAAUUACAAAAACCCAACCUCCAAAAGCUGAGAAGAAUGUAUAAAGCAUGGAAACUAUUUGGAAAUACAUAAGUCGGUGUGUAUUUUAUUUUAAAUGUUUAUUUCAUGAUUCCAAGUAACUCAUAAGAAUCCCCCUGUCAAAUUCCCCCGAAGCCCUUUGACCUACAGAAACAGCUGUACAUUCACAGGAAGACACAUGUCAGAGAUGAAUACCAUUACAUUUUGUUAGAGGAAAUACUAAAAUAAAAAUGAAUAUGGAUCAUAUGUGAUGCAUCAUCAGAAAAACAGCACAUUUUGACACACUGAGGUAAAUGUUCCCAAAGCAGCGCAGUCCACUUGAUGAUCAGGCUGUAUCACUCAGGUCGCGCUCGCAAAAUCGUCUUCACUCAAUCAACUUCUUUGACCUGAAGAAUCUUCUCAAAUAGAACACUUGCCAUAUGGCCAUUGAACACAAACAGCUUAUGGAGAUGAUGUUGAUGAACAGCACUCGUGUGUUGGUUGAAGCUGUGUGAGAUAGAGAAAAAAGCACCAAAAUAUUGUCACAAUGGUCCCAAGAAUUUCUACACAGUGAGCUAUGGAUCACACAGAGGAGAAAACUGCUGCAGACCAUAGUUUAAAUACUUCUGGCCACACAGCAGUUGAUUUCCAUCUGUUUUUUUUUAAAGGCAGAACACCUUAUAUCACACAUAGGGGUGUGGCCAAAAGGUAAAAAUGCUCGAAAAAUUUAAACUCAUAGAAAACGGUGCAGCUGUAAUUUCCCUUAAGCAGUUACUCACAGUGUGCAUGUACAUCAAACACAUUUCUCUCAUCAUUUACCAUUUGUGUGUCCCAUCUGUUUCCCUCGCUUCCUCAUGUAGACAAAGUCAUCCAUCAUGGAGUCUGAUAGGCGCUCCAGAGUUCUCAGCUUUUUUUCAAGGGGGCUCAGUUUCUCCACUUUCGCGAUCUGACAAAGAGUUUGUAAAGGUGAAAUUUCAUAUUACUCCACAAAUGUUUUGCGGACCAUGAAACUUUACUGGACUUUCCCUCUACACGGGGUUGAGUGGAUAAUGACUGAAUUUUCAUUUUUGGCUUAAUUUUUUUCUUUAACAUGGCCCCCCUCACCUCCUCCUGGUUCAGUGUGUCCAUGCCAUGCUUUGUUUUCAGAGUGACCAGUCGGUCUGGGACCUUUCCAUUGCCUAUGAUCAUAUGAGCAUUAAUAGCUCAUUAGUUAUUCACAGAAAACCAAUAGUUAUUGUACUAAUUUAUCCAUUUGAGUUGGAAUAUUCACAUUUACAUAUUUAGAAAAUUCACUCACCCACUGAUAAUGUGCUGUGAAAGCAAAUCUUCAACAUGUCCCGAGUUUCUGUCGUGAGGGAAAAUUUCCCACUUGUGAUGUUCUCCUUUUUGAACAGCAGGUCGCCAGCAGAAUCGGUGAUCUGAAGAAAGAGUUAACACAGGGGUCUGCCACAAUCUCAUUUAGGAGUGAUCAGGAUUAGUUUUGUUUCCUGAUUCUGAAGUCUUCAAAACUGAUAAAUUGACACAAGGUUCCCCUAACAUAUGGUAUUGGACUGCUCAUAAUGACAUAUUUUAAAUUGUCUUAAAUUUGUUGGUGCUAUCUUGAUGAAAUGUUUUCCAUACAACUUUGUUGUUUUAUUUUUGUACUACAUUGUAGCUACACCUCCAGAAACCUCAAAUUAAUUAAAAUAAAAAAUAAAAAAAAAAGAGA
RNA transcript from Acanthopagrus latus (yellowfin seabream), 6142 nucleotides. It is a transcript of the gene named mutL homolog 3 (E. coli), with no coding region annotated. The transcript has 13 exons. Lineage: Eukaryota; Metazoa; Chordata; Actinopteri; Spariformes; Sparidae. The record is from RefSeq and is a predicted model, not a curated record.